GACGAACGCUGGCGGCGUGCUUAACACAUGCAAGUCGAACGGAAAGGCCCUGCUUUUGUGGGGUGCUCGAGUGGCGAACGGGUGAGUAACACGUGAGUAACCUGCCCUUGACUUUGGGAUAACUUCAGGAAACUGGGGCUAAUACCGGAUAGGAGCUCCUGCUGCAUUGUGGGGGUUGGAAAGUUUCGGCGGUUGGGGAUGGACGCGCGGCUUAUCAGCUUGUUGGUGGGGUAGGGGCUUACCAAGGCUUUGACGGGUCGGCGGCCUGAGAGGGUGACCGGCCACAUUGGGACUGAGAUACGGCCCAGACUCCUACGGGAGGCAGCAGUGGGGAAUAUUGCGCAAUGGGCGGAAGCCUGAUGCAGCAACGCCGCGUGCGGGAUGACGGCCUUCGGGUUGUAAACCGCUUUCGCCUGUGACGAAGCGUGAGUGACGGUAAUGGGUAAAGAAGCACCGGCUAACUACGUG
RNAcentral lists this ribosomal RNA (468 nucleotides) under uncultured bacterium. RNAcentral's name for it is "partial 16S ribosomal RNA". It matches the Rfam family "Bacterial small subunit ribosomal RNA", at positions 28 to 507 of the family's 1533-position model. The record is from RNAcentral.